RNAcentral lists this microRNA precursor (156 nucleotides) under Pelobates cultripes (western spadefoot toad). The record is from RNAcentral. Lineage: Eukaryota; Metazoa; Chordata; Amphibia; Anura; Pelobatidae.
GCAGACACAUUCCAGCCAAUCAGCAGCAGACCCUACCUCCCAGACCCUCCCACCUCCAUUUUACAUUCAUUGUGAAGCUGCAUUCUUAGUGAGCUGUCCAGGAGUUGGGAGGAUCUGGGAGGGAGGGUCUGCUGCUGAUUGGCUGUAAUGUGUCUG